Molecule: long non-coding RNA, 272 nt
Organism: Syngnathus acus (greater pipefish)
Lineage: Eukaryota; Metazoa; Chordata; Actinopteri; Syngnathiformes; Syngnathidae
Exons: 2
Source: RefSeq, a predicted model, not a curated record
UUUGGAGUUAAACUGCAAACCAGAAGCUCAAAUCAUGAUAGCGGAAACACCGGUCAGUAUUCAUCUUUGGCGUAAAGGCCCUGAUGGGUUGUUAGAUGCGCCUAGGAAAAAAAAGUUCAAAACAUAUGUAUCUUAAGCGUAUGCAACAGCCUCCUACAGAAAAACUCGAGCAAAACUGGUAUCUAACACCGGAGACUCUGUGGGGAUUUAAAUUUUUUUAUGAGGUCGGCGAGCUAUCUUUCUUCAUGAGAAACGAAGGGGGCUUUGGACCA